Molecule: long non-coding RNA, 441 nt
Organism: Bradysia coprophila
Lineage: Eukaryota; Metazoa; Arthropoda; Insecta; Diptera; Sciaridae
Source: RefSeq, a predicted model, not a curated record
GAUCUUACCGUUUUUGCAAAACACAAACACUUUGCACCGGGUUUGAUUGCAUCGGGUUCAGAAAUUAACAUUCAAUUGGCAAAACAUGUCAUUUUUGACAACGACACUGAUAAGACCAUUCGAGUUAAGCGCAUCGACAAGCAAGCAGUAUUCGUAAAGGUUGUAUUGGGAAAGUACUUGGGUGAAAUAACUAAUUGGACCGAUCCGAAGUACAGAUUGCGAUUAAUGAAGUCGUGCAUUUUCAAUCAUUACACAAUUGUUGUACUUAAAAAGUACUCGAUGUAUACACAACACGUAAAUGAAAGGAUACGAUGGCUAAAGGAGAGCGGUAUAAUUUCACAUUGGAUGUUAUCUUUGGAAGGCAUCAACAACACCACGUACUCACGACCAUAUUUCAGAUUCUCUGAUACACUAAGGCACGAACCGAAGAGGCUAUCAACU